AUUGAACGCUGGCGGCAGGCCUAACACAUGCAAGUCGAGCGAGCGGCGGACGGGUGGGUAAUGUAUGGGGACUGCCCGUUAGAGGGGGAUAACUACUGGAAUCGGUAGCUAAUACCGCAUACUAUCGGAUAACCCAUAUGGGAUUAGCUAGUAGGUGAGGUAAUGGCUCACCUAGGCGACGAUCCCUAGCUGGUUUGAGAGGACGACAAGCCACACGGGGACUGAGACACGGCCCAGACUCCAACGGAGGCAGCAGUGGGGAAUGUUGGACAAGGGGGGAAACCCUGAUCCGGCCAUCCCGCGUGUAUGAUGAAGGCCUUCGGGUUGUAAAGUACUUUUGGCAGAGAAGCGGUAUCUGCAGAAUAAGCACCGGCUAACUACGUGCCAGCAGCCGCGGUAAUUC
This 403-nucleotide ribosomal RNA is filed under the name uncultured bacterium. RNAcentral describes it as "partial 16S ribosomal RNA". It matches the Rfam family "Bacterial small subunit ribosomal RNA", at positions 30 to 526 of the family's 1533-position model. The record is from RNAcentral.